AGAGUUUGAUCAUGGCUCAGAAUGAACGCUGGCGGCGUGCAUAACACAUGCAAGUCGAACGAGAAACUCCGGGCUUGCUCGGAGGAGUAAAGUGGCGCACGGGUGAGUAACGCGUGGGUAACUUGCCCCUGAAUCUGGGAUAACUUCGUGAAAACGUAGCUAAUACCGGAUAUUGUCUCAAAAGCCGUGGCUUUUGAGAUGAAAGGUGACCUCUUCGUGAAAGUUGCCGUUUAGGGAGAGGCCCGCGUACCAUUAGCUUGUUGGUGGGGUAAUGGCCUACCAAGGCUACGAUGGUUAGCUGGUCUGAGAGGAUGAUCAGCCACACUGGAACUGAAACACGGUCCAGACUCCUACGGGAGGCAGCAGUGAGGAAUUUUGCGCAAUGGGGAAACCCUGACGCAGCAACGCCGCGUGAGUGAAGAAGGCCUUAGGGUCGUAAAGCUCUGUCAAGUGGGAAAAAACACUUGCGAUUAAUAGUCGGGAGUGCUGAUGGUUUUAC
This 499-nucleotide ribosomal RNA is filed under the name uncultured bacterium. Its description in RNAcentral is "bacterial SSU rRNA". It matches the Rfam family "Bacterial small subunit ribosomal RNA", at positions 8 to 481 of the family's 1533-position model. The record is from RNAcentral.